This 800-nucleotide ribosomal RNA is filed under the name Halomonas sp. Its description in RNAcentral is "bacterial SSU rRNA". It matches the Rfam family "Bacterial small subunit ribosomal RNA", at positions 52 to 849 of the family's 1533-position model. The record is from RNAcentral. Lineage: Bacteria; Pseudomonadati; Pseudomonadota; Gammaproteobacteria; Oceanospirillales; Halomonadaceae.
CACAUGCAAGUCGAGCGGUAACAGAUCCAGCUUGCUGGAUGCUGACGAGCGGCGGACGGGUGAGUAAUGCAUAGGAAUCUGCCCGAUAGUGGGGGAUAACCUGGGGAAACCCAGGCUAAUACCGCAUACGUCCUACGGGAGAAAGGGGGCUCCGGCUCCCGCUAUGGGAUGAGCCUAUGUCGGAUUAGCUAGUUGGUGAGGUAACGGCUCACCAAGGCCACGAUCCGUAGCUGGUCUGAGAGGAUGAUCAGCCACAUCGGGACUGAGACACGGCCCGAACUCCUACGGGAGGCAGCAGUGGGGAAUAUUGGACAAUGGGGGAAACCCUGAUCCAGCCAUGCCGCGUGUGUGAAGAAGGCCCUCGGGUUGUAAAGCACUUUCAGCGAGGAAGAACGCCUAGCGGUUAAUACCCGCUAGGAAAGACAUCACUCGCAGAAGAAGCACCGGCUAACUCCGUGCCAGCAGCCGCGGUAAUACGGAGGGUGCAAGCGUUAAUCGGAAUUACUGGGCGUAAAGCGCGCGUAGGUGGCUUGAUAAGCCGGUUGUGAAAGCCCCGGGCUCAACCUGGGAACGGCAUCCGGAACUGUCAAGCUAGAGUGCAGGAGAGGAAGGUAGAAUUCCCGGUGUAGCGGUGAAAUGCGUAGAGAUCGGGAGGAAUACCAGUGGCGAAGGCGGCCUUCUGGACUGACACUGACACUGAGGUGCGAAAGCGUGGGUAGCAAACAGGAUUAGAUACCCUGGUAGUCCACGCCGUAAACGAUGUCGACCAGCCGUUGGGUGCCUAGCGCACUUUGUGGCGA